GAUGAAGAACGUAGCGAAAUGCGAUACGUAAUGUGAAUUGCAGAAUUCAGUGAAUCAUCGAAUCUUUGAACGCAUAUUGCGCUCUUUGGUAUUCCGAAGAGCAUGCUUGUUUGAGUAUCAGUAAACACCUCAAAGACUUCAAUUUGUUUUGAAUGGCUUUGGACUUGAGCAAUCCCAACACCAGUCUUUACGAUCGGUGGAGGGUUGCUUGAAAUGCAGGUGCAGCUGGACAUUCUCCUGAGCUAAAAGCAUAUUUAUUUAGUCCCGUCAAACGGAUUAUUACUUUUGCUGCAGCUAACAUAAAGGGAGUUUGACCGUAUUGGCUGACUGAUGCAGGAUUUCACAAGGGUCGGCAACGAUUCUUGUAAAACUCGAUCUCAAAUCAAGUAAAACUACCCGCUGAACUUAAGCAUAUCAAUAAGCGGAGGA
RNAcentral lists this unclassified non-coding RNA (429 nucleotides) under soil metagenome. Its description in RNAcentral is "partial contains 5.8S ribosomal RNA, internal transcribed spacer 2, and large subunit ribosomal RNA". The stretch from base 1 to 120 matches the Rfam family "5.8S ribosomal RNA", at positions 35 to 154 of the family's 154-position model. The record is from RNAcentral.